Arabidopsis thaliana (thale cress) is the source of this 681-nucleotide RNA transcript. RefSeq lists it as uncharacterized. The transcript is spliced from 2 exons. The record is from RefSeq. NCBI's taxonomy places the organism in Eukaryota, Viridiplantae, Streptophyta, Magnoliopsida, Brassicales, Brassicaceae.
UCUUCUCUUAACCUAAGUCUUUUCCUCUUCCUCUCUUCGUCUCCUUCCUCCACUUUCUUCUCCUCAUUUCUUCGUCUUCUUCUCCUCUUUUUGGUCAAAUAAAUCUAACGUAAAUUUAGCACAAUAAUUUUCAAAGAGGAAUAAAAGAGGUUCCUUUGAGUGUUUGAUUUUAGCAAGUUUGAUAAAUCGAAGACUGUGUUGAAGAGAUUCCGUCAUAUUAAUGUUUGCUUUUGAGAUGGAGAAGGAUAGGAUUUCACGGAUUCUCCAAUUUUAUCUCGUUGGCCACGGAAACAUAUCGUCGGAGAGAAGAAGAUUUGUUCAGAUUUGAUAAAACAAUUGAAGGUUACAGUGUCUUCACCAGUCCUGUAAUUGGUGAUGACUAUAUCCAUCUUGGUAGGUCUAUUGUUGACUCACGAAAUAACACAAUCCUUCCCAGUACGAGAAUGCAAGAAACUUGCUGUUGGACGUGGUAGUGGUCGUGGCAAGAAGAAAUGAUUAUGUGGCGUUGUCUUUUGUAUUUUUAGACUUGAUUAGUUUAUCAGAUGUGUUUGGAAGGUUUGGAAUGAUGUUUGGUUUGCUUUGUCUCAAACUUGGUUGUUUAGUUUACUUUAUUUGGUUGUUUUUGUGUCUCAAACUUGAUGUUUGGUUGGUUUUGUCUCAGAAUUGAGAAUUUUAAUCGGA